GAAGAUGAGUGGCGAACGGGUGAGUAAUACAUAGGUAACCUGCCCCUGUGCGGGGGAUAACAGGAGGAAACUCCUGCUAAUACCGCAUAGCCAUGAGCACCGCAUGGAGCUCAUGCCAAAUAUCCUUUCGGGGAUAGCGCAGGGAUGGACCUAUGGCGCAUUAGCUUGUUGGCGGGGCAACGGCCCACCAAGGCAACGAUGCGUAGCCGGCCUGAGAGGGCGGACGGCCACAUUGGGACUGAGACACGGCCCAGACUCCUACGGGAGGCAGCAGUAGGGAAUUUUCGGCAAUGGGGGAAACCCUGACCGAGCAACGCCGCGUGAGCGAAGAAGGCCUUCGGGUCGUAAAGCUCUGUUGUAAAGGAAGAACGGCGCAUACAGGAAAUGGUAUGCGAGUGACGGUACUUUACCAGAAAGCCACGGCUAACUACGUGCCAGCAGCCGCGGUAAUACGUAGGUGGCGAGCGUUAUCCGGAAUCAUUGGGCGUAAAGAGGGAGCAGGCGGCCGCAAGGGUCUGUGGUGAAAGACCGAAGCUAAACUUCGGUAAGCCAUGGAAACCGGGCGGCUAGAGUGCGGAAGAGGAUCGUGGAAUUCCAUGUGUAGCGGUGAAAUGCGUAGAUAUAUGGAGGAACACCAGUGGCGAAGGCGACGGUCUGGGCCGCAACUGACGCUCAUUC
This 678-nucleotide ribosomal RNA is filed under the name uncultured bacterium. RNAcentral describes it as "bacterial SSU rRNA". It matches the Rfam family "Bacterial small subunit ribosomal RNA", at positions 87 to 752 of the family's 1533-position model. The record is from RNAcentral.